AUACUCAUUCAGUUUCUUUUUCCGUUGUCUUGCGGACUUCUCGGUACCAGCGUGGGUGAUGUUUCUUCGCCCACGACCA
This 79-nucleotide small RNA is filed under the name Salmonella enterica subsp. enterica serovar Typhi. RNAcentral's name for it is "StyR-328". The record is from RNAcentral. Lineage: Bacteria; Pseudomonadati; Pseudomonadota; Gammaproteobacteria; Enterobacterales; Enterobacteriaceae.